GACGAACGCUGGCGGCGUGCUUAACACAUGCAAGUCGAGCGGUAAGGCCCUUUCGGGGGUACACGAGCGGCGAACGGGUGAGUAACACGUGGGUGACCUGCCUUUAGCUCUGGGAUAAGCCUGGGAAACCGGGUCGUAAUACCGGAUAUGACUCCGCGGCGCAUGUUGUGGGGUGGAAAGCCUUGUGCGGCUGGAGAUGGGCCCGCGGCCUAUCAGCUUGUUGGUGGGGUGAUGGCCUACCAAGGCGACGACGGGUAGCCGGCCUGAGAGGGCGACCGGCCACACUGGGACUGAGACACGGCCCAGACUCCUACGGGAGGCAGCAGUGGGGAA
RNAcentral lists this ribosomal RNA (333 nucleotides) under uncultured bacterium. RNAcentral describes it as "bacterial SSU rRNA". It matches the Rfam family "Bacterial small subunit ribosomal RNA", at positions 28 to 361 of the family's 1533-position model. The record is from RNAcentral.